CACGUAGGGGGCAAGCGUUGUCCGGAAUUAUUGGGCGUAAAGAGCGCGUAGGCGGUCCGAUAAGUCGGCUGUGAAAGUCAGGGGCUCAACCCUUGAAAGCCGGCCGAUACUGUCGGACUAGAGUCCGGAAGAGGCAAGUGGAAUUCCCGGUGUAGCGGUGAAAUGCGCAGAUAUCGGGAGGAACACCAAUGGCGAAGGCAGCUUGCUGGGACGGUACUGACGCUGAGGCGCGAAAGCGUGGGGAGCAAACAGG
RNAcentral lists this ribosomal RNA (253 nucleotides) under uncultured bacterium. RNAcentral describes it as "partial 16S ribosomal RNA". It matches the Rfam family "Bacterial small subunit ribosomal RNA", at positions 524 to 776 of the family's 1533-position model. The record is from RNAcentral.